Molecule: ribosomal RNA, 369 nt
Filed under: uncultured organism
Description: bacterial SSU rRNA
Rfam family: Bacterial small subunit ribosomal RNA
Source: RNAcentral
CGUAGGGUGCAGGCGUUAAUCGGAAUUACUGGGCGUAAAGCGUGCGCAGGCGGUCUACUAAGACAGGUGUGAAAUCCCCGGGCUUAACCUGGGAACUGCGCUUGUAACUGGUAGGCUUGAGUGUGGCAGAGGGGGGUGGAAUUCCACGUGUAGCAGUGAAAUGCGUAGAGAUGUGGAGGAACACCGAUGGCGAAGGCAGCCCCCUGGGCUAACACUGACGCUCAUGCACGAAAGCGUGGGGAGCAAACAGGAUUAGAUACCCUGGUAGUCCACGCCCUAAACUAUGUCAACUGGUUGUCGGGGAAGCAAUUCCUUGGUAACGAAGCUAACGCGUGAAGUUGACCGCCUGGGAGUACGGCCGCAAGGUUA